This 468-nucleotide ribosomal RNA is filed under the name uncultured bacterium. Its description in RNAcentral is "partial 16S ribosomal RNA". It matches the Rfam family "Bacterial small subunit ribosomal RNA", at positions 28 to 507 of the family's 1533-position model. The record is from RNAcentral.
GACGAACGCUGGCGGCGUGCUUAACACAUGCAAGUCGAACGGAAAGGCCCUGCUUUUGUGGGGUGCUCGAGUGGCGAACGGGUGAGUAACACGUGAGUAACCUGCCCUUGACUUUGGGAUAACUUCAGGAAACUGGGGCUAAUACCGGAUAGGAGCUCCUGCUGCAUGGUGGGGGUUGGAAAGUUUCGGCGGUUGGGGAUGGACUCGCGGCUUAUCAGCUUGUUGGUGGGGUAGUGGCUUACCAAGGCUUUGACGGGUAGCCGGCCUGAGAGGGUGACCGGCCACAUUGGGGCUGAGAUACGGCCCAGACUCCUACGGGAGGCAGCAGUGGGGAAUAUUGCACAAUGGGCGGAAGCCUGAUGCAGCAACGCCGCGUGCGGGUUGACGGCCUUCGGGUUGUAAACCGCUUUCGCCUGUGACGAAGCGUGAGUGACGGUAAUGGGUAAAGAAGCACCGGCUAACUACGUG